This 104-nucleotide small nuclear RNA is filed under the name Dasypus novemcinctus (nine-banded armadillo). The record is from RNAcentral. Lineage: Eukaryota; Metazoa; Chordata; Mammalia; Cingulata; Dasypodidae.
GUGCUUUCUUCAGCAGCACAUAUACUAAAAUUGCAACAAUACAAAGAUUAGCAUGGCCCCUGCAUAAGGACGACACAUAAAUUCGUGAAGUGUUCCAUAUUAAA